AUUGAACGCUGGCGGCAGGCCUAACACAUGCAAGUCGAGCGGAUGAAGGGAGCUUGCUCCUGGAUUCAGCGGCGGACGGGUGAGUAAUGCCUAGGAAUCUGCCUGGUAGUGGGGGAUAACGUCCGGAAACGGGCGCUAAUACCGCAUACGUCCUGAGGGAGAAAGUGGGGGAUCUUCGGACCUCACGCUAUCAGAUGAGCCUAGGUCGGAUUAGCUAGUUGGUGGGGUAAAGGCCUACCAAGGCGACGAUCCGUACCUGGUCUGAGAGGAUGAUCAGUCACACUGGAACUGAGACACGGUCCAGACUCCUACGGGAGGCAGCAGUGGGGAAUAUUGGACGAAGGGCGAAAGCCUGAUCCAGCCAUGCCGCGUGUGUGAAGAAGGUCUUCGGAUUGUAAAGCACUUUAAGUUGGGAGGAAGGGCAGUAAGUUAAUACCUUGCUGUUUUGACGUUACCAACAGAAUAAGCACCGGCUAACUUCGUG
This 484-nucleotide ribosomal RNA is filed under the name uncultured bacterium. Its description in RNAcentral is "partial 16S ribosomal RNA". It matches the Rfam family "Bacterial small subunit ribosomal RNA", at positions 30 to 507 of the family's 1533-position model. The record is from RNAcentral.